AGUAAUACUUCCCUGUAAUUAAGCUAUAUAUAUAUUAACUUCUGCAUAUUGCCUUACCAUCUUUGUAUACUUCUUACUCUGUAUAUAGUCAGAGCAUUGUCAAUAAUAUUAUUCAUUCGAUAACACAUUCAAUAUAAAAGACUCCAAAUAAUUCUCCUUCUAACUGCACUGAAACCUAAGGCUGGAUAAAAAAUCCAAACCCG
RNAcentral lists this long non-coding RNA (203 nucleotides) under Brassica napus (rape). Its description in RNAcentral is "long non-coding RNA (BNAP_LNC013654)". The record is from RNAcentral. Lineage: Eukaryota; Viridiplantae; Streptophyta; Magnoliopsida; Brassicales; Brassicaceae.